UGGCGAACGGGUGAGUAACACGUGGGUGAUCUGCCCUGCACUCUGGGAUAAGCCUGGGAAACUGGGUCUAAUACCGGAUAGGACCAUGCUUUAGUGUGUGUGGUGGAAAGUUUUUUCGGUGUAGGAUGAGCCCGCGGCCUAUCAGCUUGUUGGUGGGUAAUGGCCUACCAAGGCGGCGACGGGUAGCCGGGCUGAGAGGUUGGUCGGCCACAUUGGGACUGAGAUACGGCCCAG
This 234-nucleotide ribosomal RNA is filed under the name uncultured Actinomycetales bacterium. Its description in RNAcentral is "partial 16S ribosomal RNA". It matches the Rfam family "Bacterial small subunit ribosomal RNA", at positions 96 to 334 of the family's 1533-position model. The record is from RNAcentral. Lineage: Bacteria; Bacillati; Actinomycetota; Actinomycetes; Actinomycetales.